Oryza glaberrima (African rice) is the source of this 190-nucleotide non-coding RNA. Lineage: Eukaryota; Viridiplantae; Streptophyta; Magnoliopsida; Poales; Poaceae. The record is from Rfam.
AAUAAAUAUAGUUUUGCACUCUAAUGUUUAACCAUCCGUUUUAUUUUAAAAAAACUUUUAUUAUUAGUAUUUUAUUGUGAUUAGAUGAUAAAACAUGAAUAGUAUUUUAUGUGUGACUAAUUUUCUUUUAAUUUUUUUAAUAAGACGGACGGUCAAACGUUAAACACGAAUACCUACGAUUGUACUUAUU